ACGCUAGCUACAGGCUUAACACAUGCAAGUCGAGGGGCAUCAUGUCGGUUGCUUGCAACCGAUGAUGGCGACCGGCGCACGGGUGAGUAACGCGUAUCCAACCUUCCGCACACUAAGGGAUAACCCGUUGAAAGACGGCCUAAUACCUUAUGUCCUCCACGGCAGACAUCUAAUGUGGAGUAAAGAUUCAUCGGUGUGUGAUGGGGAUGCGUCUGAUUAGGCAGUUGGCGGGGUAACGGCCCACCAAACCGACGAUCAGUAGGGGUUCUGAGAGGAAGGUCCCCCACAUUGGAACUGAGACACGGUCCAAACUCCUACGGGAGGCAGCAGUGAGGAAUAUUGGUCAAUGGGCGAGAGCCUGAACCAGCCAAGUAGCGUGCAGGACGACGGCCCUAUGGGUUGUAAACUGCUUUUAUGCGGGGAUAAAACGCGGGACGUGUCCCGCCUUGCAGGUACCGCAUGAAUAAGGACCGGCUAAUUCCGUGCCAGCAGCCGCGGUAAUACGGAAGGUCCGGGCGUUAUC
RNAcentral lists this ribosomal RNA (523 nucleotides) under uncultured bacterium. Its description in RNAcentral is "bacterial SSU rRNA". It matches the Rfam family "Bacterial small subunit ribosomal RNA", at positions 33 to 545 of the family's 1533-position model. The record is from RNAcentral.